GGGUGAGUAACACGUGGGCAACCUGCCCUGCAGAUCGGGAUAACUCCGGGAAACCGGUGCUAAUACCGAAUAGUUUGCCGCCUCUCCUGAGGCGGCACGGAAAGACGGUUUCGGCUGUCACUGCAGGAUGGGCCCGCGGCGCAUUAGCUAGUUGGUGGGGUAAUGGCCUACCAAGGCGACGAUGCGUAGCCGACCUGAGAGGGUGAUCGGCCACACUGGGACUGAGACACGGCCCAGACUCCUACGGGAGGCAGCAGUAGGGAAUCUUCCGCAAUGGACGCAAGUCUGACGGAGCAACGCCGCGUGAGUGACGAAGGUUUUCGGAUCGUAAAACUCUGUUGUGAGGGAAGAACAAGUGCCAACUAACUACUGGCACCUUG
RNAcentral lists this ribosomal RNA (380 nucleotides) under Planococcus sp. PF9. Its description in RNAcentral is "bacterial SSU rRNA". It matches the Rfam family "Bacterial small subunit ribosomal RNA", at positions 104 to 477 of the family's 1533-position model. Lineage: Bacteria; Bacillati; Bacillota; Bacilli; Caryophanales; Caryophanaceae. The record is from RNAcentral.